RNAcentral lists this unclassified non-coding RNA (1372 nucleotides) under Leishmania donovani. RNAcentral describes it as "gene:unknown". Lineage: Eukaryota; Euglenozoa; Kinetoplastea; Trypanosomatida; Trypanosomatidae. The record is from RNAcentral.
CCCUCGCACCCACUCACCUCCGUCCAUCCUGGGCGCACGCCCGCGUGAUCGCGUUUGAAAUGCAUCGCCAACGACACUACCGCUAGCACCGCGGCAGCGUGGUGUUGUGCACAGUGCUGCACCCACACGCACGCACACACACAUCCACAUAUGCAUAUAUAUGCAAGCCAGCGCCCAUGUCACCUUGCAGCUCAGAGCGCCGCUGAUACCACCACAGAAGCGAGCAGCUAAGGCCCGUCGGCCUGACUCACUCCUCCCUUUUCUACCGGCACGCUCCCUCCUCGUCUUCUCUACUCGCGCCUUUCCCGUCCAUCACUCGUGCUCCUCUGACCUCUGCAUGCCUUCUUGGAUGUCAUACACCGUCUAUGCGUGCUGUGCUUGACCGCAGGUGCACACAGCGCUCGCAUUUUCGGGCCCUGGGGCCUGUUUCCGGACGGCGUCGCUGUCCGUGCGGCUCGCUGCUGUGCGUCUGUGGCGGCGGGGGCAUUCCACCCUCUCCUGAACCCGCGCGUAAGCGUGUGUCUGCGCACAGCGAGCUCACGGCUUGCCGUUGUGAAGGGGCACACAGGGGGGGGGGGGGGGGGGGCAGCCAUAGACACGCGACAGGGGAAGCGCAUGCAGCGCGAGGCAGAUGUGCGCGUAGCCGCAUCACUGCGCGCAAGACCACAGCGCGAAGCGCGCUGCGCUUCGGGCUUCGAGCAACCCGCGAAUCUCGCGUAGCAUACCGGGCACAGCGCCUGGUAUGCCGCCCUCACAGCGAACACAGGCAGGGGAGGGGUGGCGGUGCCGCCUGCUGCACCGCCUGCCUGCGCUUCGGUGCGGGACAGACACCGGCAAGGAGCGCGUGUCGCAUCGUGUAGUGCCGUAGCGGGGGCUGUCGGCCUGGCGUGUGAGACCGGUGGCCGGGUCCGCAAUCCAUGCAGUCGGCGUCGGCGCCCCUGGCAUGGCUGGCUUUGCAAGCGUGCCCGCCACGUCGUUGUGCACCAGCUCCCAAGGGCCAGAGACGGGCUGGAGUGAGGGGCGAACGCGACGGGCCAGCAGCGCCGGCACCUGUGCCCCCCCGCCAAUGCGUCGCGAUGUGCCAUCCUCCACCGCUGUCAGGCCGGUGCGGAGCGUCGUGAGGAGGGAAGCCAGGCUGCUGUGGGUGGGGCCUGUCUUCCAGAUGGUCACGUGGGCAUGCGGCGCGAAGCAGGAGCACCAAACGUGCGAGCGGGCGCAGGGCACCUCAUCGGCAGCAGUUCCGCGGGAGUUCUAGCGGAGCGUACCAUUUUCUUUGUCGGAGUGUUCUCUGUCACUCUUGAAAGGCGUAUAUGUCUGGUGGACGACCACCUAAACACCUCCUCACCCGCACCCCUCCGACUGACGCACAUAC